UACGUAGGUGGCGAGCGUUAUCCGGAAUUAUUGGGCGUAAAGAGCGCGCAGGUGGUUGAUUAAGUCUGAUGUGAAAGCCCACGGCUUAACCGUGGAGGGUCAUUGGAAACUGGUCGACUUGAGUGCAGAAGAGGGAAGUGGAAUUCCAUGUGUAGCGGUGAAAUGCGUAGAGAUAUGAAGGAACACCAGAGGCGAAGGCGGCUUCCUGGUCUGUAACUGACACUGAGGCGCGAAAGCGUGGGGAGCAAACAGGAUUAGAUA
RNAcentral lists this ribosomal RNA (261 nucleotides) under uncultured prokaryote. RNAcentral's name for it is "partial 16S ribosomal RNA". It matches the Rfam family "Bacterial small subunit ribosomal RNA", at positions 524 to 784 of the family's 1533-position model. The record is from RNAcentral.